This 755-nucleotide ribosomal RNA is filed under the name uncultured bacterium. RNAcentral's name for it is "bacterial SSU rRNA". It matches the Rfam family "Bacterial small subunit ribosomal RNA", at positions 105 to 858 of the family's 1533-position model. The record is from RNAcentral.
GGUGAGUAAUACAUCGGAACGUGUCCAGUAGCGGGGGAUAACCUGUCGAAAGAUAGGCUAAUACCGCAUACGACCUACGGGUGAAAGCGGGGGACCGCAAGGCCUCGCACUAUUGGAGCGGCCGAUGUCGGAUUAGCUAGUUGGCGGGGUAACGGCCCACCAAGGCGACGAUCCGUAGCUGGUCUGAGAGGACGACCAGCCACACUGGAACUGAGACACGGUCCAGACUCCUACGGGAGGCAGCAGUGGGGAAUUUUGGACAAUGGGCGCAGGCCUGAUCCAGCCAUGCCGCGUGAGUGAAGAAGGCCUUCGGGUUGUAAAGCUCUUUCGGCGGGGACGAAACGGUCCGUGACAACACCACGGACUAAUGACGGUACUCGCAGAAGAAGCACCGGCUAACUACGUGCCAGCAGCCGCGGUAAUACGUAGGGUGCGGGCGUUAAUCGGAAUUACUGGCGUAAAGCGUGCGCAGGCGGCUCCUUAAGUCAGAUGUGAAAUCCCCGGGCUUAACCUGGGAACUGCGUUUAAAACUGAGGGGCUCGAGUGUGGAAGAGGGGGGUGGAAUUCCAGGUGUAGCAGUGAAAUGCGUAGAGAUCUGGAGGAACACCGAUGGCGAAGGCAGCCCCCUGGGCUAACACUGACGCUCAUGUACGAAAGCGUGGGGAGCAAACAGGAUUAGAUACCCUGGUAGUCCACGCCCUAAACGAUGUCAACUGGUUGUCGGGGAAGCAAUUCCUUGGUAACGAAGCUAACGC